This 939-nucleotide long non-coding RNA is filed under the name Homo sapiens (human). RNAcentral describes it as "non-protein coding lnc-N4BP2L2-5:1". The record is from RNAcentral. Lineage: Eukaryota; Metazoa; Chordata; Mammalia; Primates; Hominidae.
AAAAAUCGCUGGGUCUGUUGAGCUGUCCUGGGCUGGGUGCCUUGCUCUUUGACUGAGACUGGAGACAGACGGCAACAGCCACAGGCAGACUGAGGUGGCAAUAGGAAAUCUGCCGAGAUGUUCAGUCAGGUGCCCAGGACCCCAGCCUCAGGCUGCUACUACCUAAAUUCCAUGACACCUGAGGGCCAGGAGAUGUACUUGCGAUUUGAUCAGACUACAAGACGCUCUCCUUACAGGAUGAGCCGGAUUCUAGCACGCCAUCAGCUAGUGACUAAAAUUCAACAAGAAAUUGAGGCAAAAGAAGCAUGUGACUGGCUCCGUGCUGCCGGGUUCCCGCAAUACGCUCAGUUAUAUGAGGAUUCACAAUUUCCCAUCAACAUUGUGGCUGUCAAGAAUGAUCAUGAUUUUCUUGAAAAGGACCUUGUAGAACCUCUUUGCAGACGACUAAAUACGUUGAACAAGUGUGCCUCAAUGAAACUUGAUGUGAACUUCCAAAGGAAAAAGAAGAGAAAAGGGACCCUUUAAGGAUUCGAGAUGACCUUCCCUGCCUCUGUAAGAGUCAGGUGGAGGAGUAUUCUCGAGCUUAGCUGCACGCCUCACUGGAAGACUAACAACCCAGCCAAGAGCAUUUCAGGAGACAGGACACCAGCACUUCUGCCGCCUGCAGCUCGGGCUCUCCACUCCCGCGGCAUUCCCAGCGGCCCAUUCCUGCUUCCAAACAGGCAGGCCCGGCCACGUAGCUCCAGUUAACGUCUAAAUUUCUAUGUGACUAUGGAUGCGUUGCCUUUUGCAGCUGUGGAUUCGUGUGGGUUCCUGUUUCCAGUGUAAAGAUAUGGCCAAAUUCCGUCUUUUGAAAAAAGCCCUUCUUUAUGGAAUGUCUGGUUGGCAUCUGUCUCUGAGGAAUAUAUAAUUUCAGUGAAGAAUGUUCUCAUUUUUAGA